UCUGAAAUACCAAUUUAUUGAAUGUGUCUCUUGCAGUUUUAUCUGCUAAAUCUGGUGGCCCUUUGUGGGCUGUGGGGAGAAUCCUGACUGAGUCACCUGGGCUUCCCACCACGCAAGGGUGUGCACACGUGCUGCCUCCUGAGGAGAAAACUUGUACACGGUGUGUUGGGGGUCCAACUUCACUUCAUGCAGAGACUGUGGAACAGCACCCAGACAAGAGUUCAAAAGGGACUUUUCACUUUUGAAGAGGACACUGUGUGUGUGACCUUGUGGCAUGAUUCUCUGACUCUCCUAAGGGUUCUGUGAGUUACCCAGGAACCUGUGACAAAUCUCUGCAACAACCCAGACUGAUAGUCCUCCAAUGAGUGAGUUACUGAAAUUACCAAGUGGGUCCCACCCAAUGUAAGACCCACACAAAUGCAUCUUUCUUUGUGGCUUUGAACACAGCUCUACCCUCUCCGUGCCUUAGUUUUGCCCUUUCGCUGCUCUAAAGUGGAACCUCCACUUGUAUUGAAGACUUCUACCUGAUUCCUUGGAAUAAAAGUUGCUGAG
RNAcentral lists this long non-coding RNA (552 nucleotides) under Capra hircus (goat). RNAcentral's name for it is "lncRNA (ENSCHIG00000001348.1)". The record is from RNAcentral. Lineage: Eukaryota; Metazoa; Chordata; Mammalia; Artiodactyla; Bovidae.